This 490-nucleotide ribosomal RNA is filed under the name uncultured bacterium. RNAcentral's name for it is "partial 16S ribosomal RNA". It matches the Rfam family "Bacterial small subunit ribosomal RNA", at positions 30 to 507 of the family's 1533-position model. The record is from RNAcentral.
AUUGAACGCUGGCGGCAGGCCUAACACAUGCAAGUCGAACGGUAACAGGAAGCAGCUUGCUGCUUUGCUGACGAGUGGCGGACGGGUGAGUAAUGUCUGGGAAACUGCCCGAUGGAGGGGGAUAACUACUGGAAACGGUAGCUAAUACCGCAUAACGUCGCAAGACCAAAGAGGGGGACCUUAGGGCCUCUUGCCAUCGGAUGUGCCCAGAUGGGAUUAGCUAGUAGGUGGGGUAACGGCUCACCUAGGCGACGAUCCCUAGCUGGUCUGAGAGGAUGACCAGCCACACUGGAACUGAGACACGGUCCAGACUCCUACGGGAGGCAGCAGUGGGGAAUAUUGCACAAUGGGCGCAAGCCUGAUGCAGCCAUGCCGCGUGUAUGAAGAAGGCCUUCGGGUUGUAAAGUACUUUCAGCGGGGAGGAAGGGAGUAAAGUUAAUGCCUUUGCUCAUUGACGUUACCCGCAGAAGAAGCACCGGCUAACUCCGUG